UACGGAGGAUUCAAGCGUUAUCCGGAUUUAUUGGGUUUAAAGGGAGCGCAGGCGGAGGUGCAAGUCAGCGGUCAAAUUGCGGGGCUCAACCCCGUACUGCCGUUGAAACUGCAUCCCUUGAGUGGGCGAGAAGUACGCGGAAUGCGUGGUGUAGCGGUGAAAUGCAUAGAUAUCACGCAGAACUCCGAUUGCGAAGGCAGCGUACCGGCGCCCAACUGACGCUGAAGCACGAAGGCGUGGGUAUCGAACAGG
RNAcentral lists this ribosomal RNA (252 nucleotides) under uncultured Bacteroidales bacterium. Its description in RNAcentral is "partial 16S ribosomal RNA". It matches the Rfam family "Bacterial small subunit ribosomal RNA", at positions 524 to 776 of the family's 1533-position model. The record is from RNAcentral. Lineage: Bacteria; Pseudomonadati; Bacteroidota; Bacteroidia; Bacteroidales.